AGAGAGACAAGGAAAUGCUGUCACCGCGGUUAACACGCACGUGGAGGGAAGACCUGGGUUUUAGUCCUGUCUCCAUCAACCUCAAGAAAUGGGACCUCAUGGAAGGGAGGGGAGGCAAUGCCGAGGAUGUGCUCCUGAGCAGGUGCCACAAUUCUUCACCUGUAAGAUUGCUGACAGAAAAGUGAGACCUCCUCCACCCCAAGGUCUCCUAAGAGAAUGCUGCUAGCCAAAAAAAGAUCUGCUGAUAAUUGAGGAAGAGCAUCUUUAAAAAGACACUCAACUACAUUUCAGAAACAUAAAGAUCUAAGUGUUGGCUCUACAAGGGAAGAAAUAAAGAGAAAGAACUUUUUUUCCUCCUACAACAGGUCUAGACAACGUCAUACAAGGAGUUGCACGCAUAUCCAAAACAAAAGCAAGGCAAAAACAAGCAAAAAAGCAACAAAUGCAUUCCAAAAUGAUGUCCAUUUAUCAGCCCAGAAAUGUACUGGAUACUGGUUUAGUUCAGCCUGUAGGUGCUGGGAAGAAAUUCCGACAAAUCCAAGUCAGUUGCAAAAAGGGAAAACUCCAGACAUAUCACCCAAUGAACUUGUAAGAAAGCAUAUGAGCUUCCCUGAACAGAUUUUACUCCAGGUUUGCAGCCCGCAAGAUUUAAGAUGGGGCCAUGAGGUUAAAUCUUGUAAACUCAGAAGUGUUCACGCUACUGCAUCCCUAAACUCUGUAACUCUCUACAUACUCUUUAAAGCAGUGUUUCUCUGCAUCUUUCAUUCCAUAGCCAUUGUCCACCUGAUCCAAAAUAUCCUAAGUUUUUCAGUGUUUGGAAGCAGGGUUUCCAAUUUUUGUGUAUACAGAAAAGGGGGGUGUGUGUGAAAAAAUAAGUAUUAGAAAAAAAACAUGUUAUACAUAUCUAUCACAGAAAUGAGUGGGCAAGGUUUAGAAGAUGGCUGAAACCAAGCCAAUACUAAGGUCUACUGGUUGGCUGCAACAAGUUUAAAAUGUCUUCAUAAGGGCCCUGGUUGGGCAAUACUAUACUUGCUGACAGUACUUGGGAUCUGCCACAGACCUAUAGCAAAGGACUGUUCAACUUCUCCAAAAAGCUGGUAUUAACCACCAGAAGAAAUAAGAAGUUCAAGGCCAAAAUAUCCAAAUGAACCAACCACUCUACUUGCUGAAAUGCCAUAAAGCUUCUUUACCCCAGACAUUUGCCCAAAUCUUAUAAUUUCUUUUCUCCUCUCUGACAGGCCUCUCCAGAGGCCCAAACUUUAAUAGAAUCUGAGAGAAAAAAGUGGCCAGUCUAUCUGCUGUCCAGAGUGAUGCCAAACUCUUUCUCCCGGAGCCAGUUCUCCCCGUUGGGCAGUCAGGUGAGGAUCCGAUUAUUAACAAACUCUACUUGGGUCUCCUUGGCAAAGAGUUUCUGGCUUCAGCAGCCUAGCUCAGGGGGGUUCAUAAUUAUGUCAGACUCGCUUUUUUUCUUGUAGUUGCUUUUAACCAAAGAGGUUAAGCCUCUGUACAACCAAGAGGAAGAACUAGAAUUAGAAAACUUACCAAUCGUCCCAGCCAAUGAUAAUCCAUUUCCAACAGGUAUUAACGCCUGUUAGAAGCCACUGGAACACUGACAUCAUCAGCCCAAUUGAUAGGUUGUCUGAUAGAUUCGCCCC
RNAcentral lists this long non-coding RNA (1655 nucleotides) under Homo sapiens (human). Its description in RNAcentral is "non-protein coding SP2-AS1:17". The record is from RNAcentral. Lineage: Eukaryota; Metazoa; Chordata; Mammalia; Primates; Hominidae.